GACGAACGCUGGCGGCGUGCUUAACACAUGCAAGUCGAACGGAAAGGCCCUGCUUUUGUGGGGUGCUCGAGUGGCGAACGGGUGAGUAACACGUGAGUAACCUGCCCUUGACUUUGGGAUAACUUCAGGAAACUGGGGCUAAUACCGGAUAGGAGCUCCUGCCGCAUGGUGGGGGUUGGAAAGUUUCGGCGGUUGGCGAUGGACUCGCGGCUUAUCAGCUUGUUGGUGGGGUAGUGGCUUACCAAGGCUUUGACGGGUAGCCGGCCUGAGAGGGUGACCGGCCACAUUGGGACUGAGAUACGGCCCAGACUCCUACGGGAGGCAGCAGUGGGGAAUAUUGCACAAUGGGCGGAAGCCUGAUGCAGCAACGCCGCGUGCGGGAUGACGGCCUUCGGGUUGUAAACCGCUUUCGCCUGUGACGAAGCGUGAGUGACGGUAAUGGGUAAAGAAGCACCGGCUAACUACGUG
This 468-nucleotide ribosomal RNA is filed under the name uncultured bacterium. RNAcentral describes it as "partial 16S ribosomal RNA". It matches the Rfam family "Bacterial small subunit ribosomal RNA", at positions 28 to 507 of the family's 1533-position model. The record is from RNAcentral.